GAUGAACGCUGGCGGCGUGCCUAAUACAUGCAAGUCGAACGCUUGGUCGCGACGCUUUGCUUUCUGAUGUUUGCGGCGGGCGGGGGAGUAACACGUGGUUACACUUCCUUAAACUAUGGGUUAAAUGCGGGUAACCCGUGCUAACACGGGCUAAUAUCUCGUACCGCAUUGUUCCGCAGUGAAUGAUGGUGUAACUGUCAUUCAUAUGUGGCUCAGCGCUGCAUUAGCUAGUUGGUAAGGUAACGGCUUACCAAGGCAACGAUGCAUAGCCGACCUGAGAGGGUGAUCGGCCACACUGGAACUGAGACACGGUCCAGACUCCUACGGGAGGCAGCAGUAGGGAAUCUUCCGCAAUGGGCGAAAGCCUGACGGAGCAACGCCGCGUGAGUGAUGAAGGUUUUCGGAUCGUAAAACUCUGUUAUUAGGGAAGAACAUAUGUGUAAGUAACUGAGCACAUCUUGACGGUACCUAAUCAGAAAGCCACGGCUAACUACGUG
Molecule: ribosomal RNA, 497 nt
Filed under: uncultured bacterium
Lineage: Bacteria
Description: partial 16S ribosomal RNA
Rfam family: Bacterial small subunit ribosomal RNA
Source: RNAcentral